GCCUGGGUGGCUCAGUUGGUUAAGCAUCUGACUUCAACUCAGGUCAUGAUCUCACGGUUCAUGGGUUCGAGCCCCACAUGGGCU
Felis catus (domestic cat) is the source of this 84-nucleotide transfer RNA. It matches the Rfam family "tRNA". Rfam says of the family: Transfer RNA (tRNA) molecules are approximately 80 nucleotides in length. Their secondary structure includes four short double-helical elements and three loops (D, anti-codon, and T loops). Lineage: Eukaryota; Metazoa; Chordata; Mammalia; Carnivora; Felidae. The record is from Rfam.